AUGAUUUAUUUUGGACCUCUUAACAAAAAGUGGAUACCAUCCGCACGUCGGACGUGCACGUGUACAGCCACCUGGAUCCCAUGGACACCAUAUGGACAAAAGGAGUGCAUGUGUAUGGGCACCUGGAAGUGGUUGCAAGAGCGACCAACAGAGGCGCCCUCGCGGCGGAAUGCAGUGGUGCUACGCGGUGCGCUCUUGUCGGUGACACCAUGCCUUCUCCCCGCCGGACGGCUGUUGGUCGGCACCGCACAUAGAAGAGUGGAGGGUUGUCGAUGGACAAUGGCGAGGAUGGGUGCGCCGCCCCAACCGCCGACGUCGCAGACUUUGAGGGCGUUGUCCAUGGGGAAAACAGCAUGCCCAAGAUCCCCGACGCAGUGGACGAGAUCGAGGUCCUUUGCGCAGCGAAGCGCAACUGGGAGGAGCGGCAGCUGCAGACCACGCAACUCCCGCACAUGCCGAUGCGCUAGGAGGCCGCGUGCAACAGCCUGCAGCCUCACCGUCGCCGACACGUGGCGAGUAGUGAUCCAAUCUGGAAGCGGUGACGGCGACGGCGGAAGCUUGAUCUGCUGGAUGGGGACGCCCUGGGGAAGCGGUGAUGGCGACGGCGGGAACUUGAUCUGGUGGAUCGGGACUCCCGUCGGCGCGGUCGAUGCGGGGCCGGAGCUGACCGGUGAUGGCUGCUGCAGUUGCAGCGGCUGCUGCGGCGGAGCGCCGGGCGCGGCGGAGGUCGCCAGGAGCGGUGGCUGCCACUGCAGCCAGGGCGGGGCGGUGGAUGGCAGCUGCUGCAGCGGCCCGAUGAGCGCGGCGGAGGCCACCUGGUGCGGCGGCUGCCACGGCAGCCAGGACGGGACGGUGGUGGCGGUGGAUGGCAGUUGCAGCGGCUGCUGUAGCAGCCCGACGAGCGCGGCGGAGGCCGCCUGGUGCGGCGGCUGCCACGACAGCCAGGACGGGGCGAUGGAUGGCAGCUGCAGCGGCUGCUGCAGCAGCCCGGCGAGCGCGGCGGGGGCCGCUUGGUGCGGCGGCUGCCACGGCAGCCACGGCGGCGCGGUGGCGGUGAUGGGCGGCACAGCCGGGUGCGGCCCAUAG
This 1086-nucleotide ribosomal RNA is filed under the name Triticum aestivum (bread wheat). Its description in RNAcentral is "partial small subunit ribosomal RNA". The record is from RNAcentral. Lineage: Eukaryota; Viridiplantae; Streptophyta; Magnoliopsida; Poales; Poaceae.